Molecule: ribosomal RNA, 275 nt
Filed under: uncultured prokaryote
Description: partial 16S ribosomal RNA
Rfam family: Bacterial small subunit ribosomal RNA
Source: RNAcentral
UACGUAGGGGGCUAGCGUUAUGCGGAAUUACUGGGCGUAAAGGGUGCGUAGGUGGUUUCUUAAGUCAGAGGUGAAAGCCCACGGCUUAACCGUGGAGGGUCAUUGGAAACUGGUCGACUUGAGUGCAGAAGAGGGAAGUGGAAUUCCAUGUGUAGCGGUGAAAUGCGUAGAGAUAUGGAGGAACACCAGUGGCGAAGGCGGCUCCCUGGUCUGUAACUGACACUGAGGCGCGAAAGCGUGGGGAGCAAACAGGAUUAGAUACCCUGGUAGUCCCU